GGGCUCUUAGCUCAGUUGGUUAGAGCGCAUCCCUGAUAAGGAUGAGGCCUCUGGUUCGAAUCCAGAAGGGCCCA
Molecule: transfer RNA, 74 nt
Filed under: bacterium ADurb.Bin363
Lineage: Bacteria
Also listed under: 1 other name
Description: tRNA-Ile
Rfam family: tRNA
About the family: Transfer RNA (tRNA) molecules are approximately 80 nucleotides in length. Their secondary structure includes four short double-helical elements and three loops (D, anti-codon, and T loops).
Source: RNAcentral